RNAcentral lists this ribosomal RNA (1537 nucleotides) under Klebsiella pneumoniae. Its description in RNAcentral is "16S ribosomal RNA". It matches the Rfam family "Bacterial small subunit ribosomal RNA". The record is from RNAcentral. Lineage: Bacteria; Pseudomonadati; Pseudomonadota; Gammaproteobacteria; Enterobacterales; Enterobacteriaceae.
AAAUUGAAGAGUUUGAUCAUGGCUCAGAUUGAACGCUGGCGGCAGGCCUAACACAUGCAAGUCGAGCGGUAGCACAGAGAGCUUGCUCUCGGGUGACGAGCGGCGGACGGGUGAGUAAUGUCUGGGAAACUGCCUGAUGGAGGGGGAUAACUACUGGAAACGGUAGCUAAUACCGCAUAACGUCGCAAGACCAAAGUGGGGGACCUUCGGGCCUCAUGCCAUCAGAUGUGCCCAGAUGGGAUUAGCUAGUAGGUGGGGUAAUGGCUCACCUAGGCGACGAUCCCUAGCUGGUCUGAGAGGAUGACCAGCCACACUGGAACUGAGACACGGUCCAGACUCCUACGGGAGGCAGCAGUGGGGAAUAUUGCACAAUGGGCGCAAGCCUGAUGCAGCCAUGCCGCGUGUGUGAAGAAGGCCUUCGGGUUGUAAAGCACUUUCAGCGGGGAGGAAGGCGGUGAGGUUAAUAACCUCAUCGAUUGACGUUACCCGCAGAAGAAGCACCGGCUAACUCCGUGCCAGCAGCCGCGGUAAUACGGAGGGUGCAAGCGUUAAUCGGAAUUACUGGGCGUAAAGCGCACGCAGGCGGUCUGUCAAGUCGGAUGUGAAAUCCCCGGGCUCAACCUGGGAACUGCAUUCGAAACUGGCAGGCUAGAGUCUUGUAGAGGGGGUAGAAUUCCAGGUGUAGCGGUGAAAUGCGUAGAGAUCUGGAGGAAUACCGGUGGCGAAGGCGGCCCCUGGACAAAGACUGACGCUCAGGUGCGAAAGCGUGGGGAGCAAACAGGAUUAGAUACCCUGGUAGUCCACGCCGUAAACGAUGUCGAUUUGGAGGUUGUGCCCUUGAGGCGUGGCUUCCGGAGCUAACGCGUUAAAUCGACCGCCUGGGGAGUACGGCCGCAAGGUUAAAACUCAAAUGAAUUGACGGGGGCCCGCACAAGCGGUGGAGCAUGUGGUUUAAUUCGAUGCAACGCGAAGAACCUUACCUGGUCUUGACAUCCACAGAACUUUCCAGAGAUGGAUUGGUGCCUUCGGGAACUGUGAGACAGGUGCUGCAUGGCUGUCGUCAGCUCGUGUUGUGAAAUGUUGGGUUAAGUCCCGCAACGAGCGCAACCCUUAUCCUUUGUUGCCAGCGGUCCGGCCGGGAACUCAAAGGAGACUGCCAGUGAUAAACUGGAGGAAGGUGGGGAUGACGUCAAGUCAUCAUGGCCCUUACGACCAGGGCUACACACGUGCUACAAUGGCAUAUACAAAGAGAAGCGACCUCGCGAGAGCAAGCGGACCUCAUAAAGUAUGUCGUAGUCCGGAUUGAGUCUGCAACUCGACUCCAUGAAGUCGGAAUCGCUAGUAAUCGUAGAUCAGAAUGCUACGGUGAAUACGUUCCCGGGCCUUGUACACACCGCCCGUCACACCAUGGGAGUGGGUUGCAAAAGAAGUAGGUAGCUUAACCUUCGGGAGGGCGCUUACCACUUUGUGAUUCAUGACUGGGGUGAAGUCGUAACAAGGUAACCGUAGGGGAACCUGCGGUUGGAUCACCUCCUUA